GAUCAUGGCUCAGGAUGAACGCUAGCUACAGGCUUAACACAUGCAAGUCGAGGGGCAGCAUGAACUUAGCUUGCUAAGUUUGAUGGCGACCGGCGCACGGGUGAGUAACACGUAUCCAACCUGCCGAUGACUCGGGGAUAGCCUUUCGAAAGAAAGAUUAAUACCCGAUGGCAUAGUUCUUCCGCAUGGUAGAACUAUUAAAGAAUUUCGGUCAUCGAUAAGGAUGCGUUCCAUUAGG
RNAcentral lists this ribosomal RNA (238 nucleotides) under uncultured bacterium. Its description in RNAcentral is "partial 16S ribosomal RNA". It matches the Rfam family "Bacterial small subunit ribosomal RNA", at positions 15 to 245 of the family's 1533-position model. The record is from RNAcentral.